GAUGGUGUGGAUGCCGCUCAGAGACACUAGGACUUCCAGAACCUACAGGGAUGAAGGAGAGAAAGCCUGUCUAUCUGAACCCGUGAGAGUCAGCAGGAAGGGUGUCUAUCCAAGGGAAGUGAAUCUGUCUGUCAGGGAAGGAGGGGAAACACAAAGUAGAAAGAACAAAGAGCACCAUUUGCUGGGGCGAGAAAUUGUCUGAGGAGCCCCAGGAGGCAGCUGGGUAUGGUCUGUGUUUGGCAGUCUCCACCCUGACAUAAAGGGCAAAGAGGAAGUGUGAGCUGAAACCAUCCACACAACAGGGAGCAUCCAAGCAAACCUUUUUACAGAGUCAGCAAAAGGCACCCAUACUGCCAGGAUCCAAAGAGGAAGACAUAGUUCCCAUCCUGUGUGACAACGCCAUGGGUUCCAUGCUCUUCAGUUGCCUGAUCUUUUGUCUCCUGGUGUCAGGUCCAGUCGACCCUAAAAUCAUCCAGGAACCAAAAUAUCUGGUGGCAGUCGCUGGGAGUGAAAGAAUCCUGAUAUGCGAACAGCAUCUAGGACAUAAUGCUAUGUAUUGGUAUAGACAGAGUGCUAAGACGUCCCUAGAGCUCAUGUUUUCCUAUAACUAUCAAAAACUUAUUCACAAUCAGACUGUCCCAAGUCGCUUCCAACCUCACAAUUCCAAGAACAACUACUUAGACCUUCAGAUCACAGCCCUAAAGCCUGACGAUGCGGCUACAUACCUCUGUGCCAGUAGCCAAGACACAGCCCUGCAGAGCUCUUGCUUCGCUGUACACAAACCUCCUUAGUCUAUCCAGGAAACUGCUGAUGUAACUGGUCUAGCUGAGCCUGGAGACUCAGUUCAGUAAUCCACAGGACCCAAGUAAAACCUCAGACCACAGUGCCACCUGCUAAUU
This is a non-coding RNA of Apodemus sylvaticus (European woodmouse), 899 nucleotides long. Lineage: Eukaryota; Metazoa; Chordata; Mammalia; Rodentia; Muridae. The record is from the annotation of a RefSeq genome assembly.